This 1045-nucleotide long non-coding RNA is filed under the name Eucalyptus grandis. RNAcentral describes it as "long non-coding RNA (EGRA_LNC007492)". The record is from RNAcentral. Lineage: Eukaryota; Viridiplantae; Streptophyta; Magnoliopsida; Myrtales; Myrtaceae.
CACCUCCUUUCAGCCGAAACAGUGAGUCACUCAUCCGAAAUCGAAAAUCACAGAAUCUCAGCAUCCAACUGCAAUCAAUUCCAGAUCAUACAAACAUCGAUUUUAAUUAGAUUUGCAAUGCAUCCUGGCCCCGAACCUUCGUUGUCGAUCAUGAAUCACGACACGAGAAGCUCUUGCCUCAUCGGAUGAUAUUAAAUGGAGUUUCAUCACACCCACCUUGGUCCGUAAUGAAUCGGCCAAGAACUGACCUUCGGAGAUGUCCACCAUUCAGUGACAAUGAAGUUGCUAUUUAAAAAAAAAAACAUGUACUGAAAUCAGUGGAGGAUCUGAAUCUAAUAACACUCCUUACCAAAAUAGAAAAGAGGAAACCAAACACUUAGCUUCGAUUUUGUUAUUGGAACUCCUGGAAAAUGAAGAACGCUGGCCUUUGAUUUUGUGAUCCUCGAACUCAUCGAAUGAAUGCCUCGGCUGCCGAUUUGAAGAUGGUGUACGCUUUGAGUUGCAAUCUAGAAGUUUUUCUCAGCUUCUUCUUCAACAAAAUCAGUGAAAUUAAAUGUCAACAGAAUCUGCUGAAAUCAGAAUCUUUGCGCAACAAAUGUACAAGUAAAGAUUGAGAAGACUCAGCUCAAUCUUUAUUCUGCGAUUUUCUGGAAAUCGGCACAUCAACUACUCUGAAGCAUCUUCAGAGAUUUUGAUGAUCAAGUAACAACGAAGAACUCCUUCGAUCUUCAUCUGUUCCGUCUUCAAUCAAGAGAAAGACCGACCGAGAGACAAAUCCAGAGAGCGAGAGAUAGAUCCUGAACGCGAGAUCCAGCCAGAGAGGAAUUGUCGGAAUCUCUCUUGCGCGCGAGACUACUGGCAAAGCAGAACAAGAAAACGGUUGGAAGCCUUCGCUGCUGCUGCCGUCGCUACCGCCAUCGUCGAUCGGCUUCGGAGCUCGAGAAGAUGUAGAUGAGGAAGUCCAGAUUCCCAAGCCAAAGAGAGAGACCGAUUUUCACCUUGAAUCGAUUCGGCCGUCAAACCCUAGAUCGCUCUCCGAGAUGCA